Molecule: ribosomal RNA, 259 nt
Filed under: uncultured Leptotrichia sp.
Lineage: Bacteria; Fusobacteriati; Fusobacteriota; Fusobacteriia; Fusobacteriales; Leptotrichiaceae
Description: partial 16S ribosomal RNA
Rfam family: Bacterial small subunit ribosomal RNA
Source: RNAcentral
UGGCGGACGGGUGAGUAACGCGUAAAGAACUUGUCCUUUAGACUGGGAUAACAGAGGGAAACUUCUGAUAAUACUGGAUAAGUUAGUAUAUCGCAUGAUAUGCAAAUGAAAGCUACGGCACUAAAGGAGAGCUUUGCGUCCUAUUAGCUAGUUGGUAAGGUAAGAGCUUACCAAGGCGAUGAUAGGUAGCCGGCCUGAGAGGGUGGACGGCCACAAGGGGACUGAGAUACGGCCCUUACUCCUACGGGAGGCAGCAGAC